GAUGAACGCUGGCGGCGUGCCUAAUACAUGCAAGUCGAGCGAACAGAUGAGGAGCUUGCUCCUCUGACGUUAGCGGCGGACGGGCGAGUAACACGUGGAUAACCUACCUAUAAGACUGGGAUAACUUCGGGAAACCGGAGCUAAUACCGGAUAAUAUAUUGAACCGCAUGGUUCAAUAGUGAAAGACGGUUUUGCUGUCACUUAUAGAUGGAUCCGCGCCGCAUUAGCUAGUUGGUAAGGUAACGGCUUACCAAGGCAACGAUGCGUAGCCGACCUGAGAGGGUGAUCGGCCACACUGGAACUGAGACACGGUCCAGACUCCUACGGGAGGCAGCAGUAGGGAAUAUUCCGCAAUGGGCGAAAGCCUGACGGAGCAACGCCGCGUGAGUGAUGAAGGUCUUCGGAUCGUAAAACUCUGUUAUUAGGGAAGAACAAAUGUGUAAGUAACUAUGCACGUCUUGACGGUACCUAAUCAGAAAGCCACGGCUAACUACGUG
This 497-nucleotide ribosomal RNA is filed under the name uncultured bacterium. RNAcentral's name for it is "partial 16S ribosomal RNA". It matches the Rfam family "Bacterial small subunit ribosomal RNA", at positions 28 to 507 of the family's 1533-position model. The record is from RNAcentral.